This 467-nucleotide long non-coding RNA is filed under the name Malus domestica (apple). Its description in RNAcentral is "long non-coding RNA (MDOM_LNC018568)". The record is from RNAcentral. Lineage: Eukaryota; Viridiplantae; Streptophyta; Magnoliopsida; Rosales; Rosaceae.
AAUACAAAAACACAAAAGUAUCAAAACUUUAUGUAAUUGCAUAAAAGGCCCAAAAUCACCCCCACUUGGGGUUGGCCAGUUUUAUUAGGGAAAAGGAGUGUGAAAAGGUAUUUGGUGAUAAAUGUGCAUGCAAGUGGAAUAAGUGGGUGAGGAUAAAGGUGAAUGGGUUGUAAGAAAAAUGUUUUGUGAAACAUUAAUAGCAUUUAUCAUCUCUCACCAAUAAUCCAUCACCCAUCAAAAUAAACCAAAACUUUAUGAAAAACACCAAACACUUUGAAUCAAAUCUCCAAACCUUUUUGUUCUUGGUAAGAAACUCAAGAACAUUGAAGAACAUGUAUGAAAACUCAUAAGAGCUCCAUGAAUAUUUUCACACAAUAAAACUCAAAUUUUCACUACAUAAAAGAGGGUUAACAUCCUAGGGUACUUAGGGGUUCCAAAAGUCACUUUAAAACUCUUUUAACAAGACA